Molecule: transfer RNA, 68 nt
Filed under: bovine gut metagenome
Rfam family: tRNA
About the family: Transfer RNA (tRNA) molecules are approximately 80 nucleotides in length.
Source: RNAcentral
GGCAGUAGCUCAGUUGGCAGAGCGUUGGCUUCCCAAGCCGAAGGUCGCGGGUUCGAACCCCGUUUGCC